UCUGAUUUCGUUAAACUUGGGUUACUCUCUUGCUCUUAUUGUACGAGUAAACAAAAUAUUUAACUAUGCGGUAUUUUAUUCAAUGUUAAUGCAUAUAUAUAGGCGGCUAUGCCUGACAUUUUGGAGAGAACUCCAAAACAUUUCUUCCACGAGAGGGGAAGUUUUCUGAAACAUAAAGUAGAUAUUGGAUAUUCUAAGGUCAAGCACAUACCUGGCCUCACUUGUUACAUGAAACCCGAAGCGUGCACCUUUUUAUGGGUAUUCUAUUAUUAUUACUAUAUUUUAACACAGUAUUUAUCUUCUCCUAUUUUGAGAUGCGACAAUCUUGACAUUGAACAUUAUUACGCAGACCAAGCUGGAUAUAUCGUGCUUUGCUGACAUUGAAGACGAUCAAGACUUCUGCAGGAAGCUUGCUAUGGAAGAAAAUCUCGUCGUUUUGCCAGGUGCUAAUUUUUCAAAUCCCUUUGCAAAAUAUAUACUACAAUGUUUUUCUUGUUUAACCAUAGAACAUGUUGUGUGUUGAAUUGGUUAGGGAUUGCAUUUAGGCAGAAGAAUUGGCUGAGGCAUUCUAUCGACAUGGAGACGCAAACAGUUGAGGACGCAUUUGAAAGAUUGAAGAGCUUCUGUGAACGCCAUUCCGCUGAACGUGGAGCUUCACUCAAAAACGUCAAUGGCGUGAACUAGAGGGUCAACAUGAUGAUCUUUGCCUACGUCUAAUUACAUAUGCUAUAAUAAUAAAUGGGUGUUUUCAGUUCAAAAAAAUAAAAUAAAUUGGUGUUUUUGGUAAUGUGAGAUAAAUCAUGAACACUUUCGUAUUUGUAACAAAUAAAAUUGGUGUACUUAUCAUCAAUCUAGAAUGUUUUCUCAUAAUGUAGCUACUUUCGAAUAAUAAAAUUAAUAUGUCCCAAAUUCUGUUUUAUUUGAGAUAGAUUGACGUGCAAGUACAUUGAUAACUAACUGAUGCGGCCAUCAGAUCAGCAACUAAACCAGAGAUCAACCCAAAACCCUACUCAACCAGCCAAAGCGCCAGCCAGGACAUACGUGCACUAAAAACAUCAUAUCUUACAAACCAAGAGGGUUUAAAUGACAAGGUUAAUUUUUAUGGAUUCUACAUUCAAGAAGGAGUCCAGGAUGGAAUCGGGACAAAAUAUUCACGGAGCAAGAAGUUAUGAAUUUUAUAAGUCAUAGGUUUCUCAGCCCGUCCAUCUGCGAGUACCCGACUUUAGAAGAAAAUUCAAGCCCAAUGAAAACGCGGCCUGAAGCAAAGCCCAUCAUAGGAGUCAAGAGGAGUUUAUCAGCUUUUUAGAAAGCCCAAUAUCAGGAGAAAUGGCCACGGAAUUAUAAAGUUAUGAUCCAAUCUCCAAAACCGGCCAAACCAGUUCUACACUUGCCUCAAUUGGAAGCUAACCGGUUCAAUCAGCUUCAAACCAGACAUUGGCGACCAGGAGAUCUAUCUAUGCAUUCAGGAAGUCCAUCCAGUGGUCCAGAAGAGUCAGACAAGUUCAUUCCAUGCACCAGCCCACAUAGGAUCAGGAGGAUCCUCAUUAACCCCAACUGCCUUAUUUGGAGCUUCUUGCCAUCCAGCUCCAACAGCUCUUUUUCCAUAGGAUUGGGCACGACCUCAGCACAUUCCAAACCAUCAAGAAGGUUCCCAGGAAGCUUAGUUAUCCCCUCAAACCAUCCAGGUUUAAGAAAGAUCAGAUUCCUUACUUGGAGCCAAAAUCCCACAAAAGGCUCCAACGGCUAGUUACCGAUUUUGCUACUUUGCUUGAUUUGUUUCCUUUUCUAUUUGUUUUAGAACGUUAGGACCUUUUUCUCUGAGCCUUAUAUAAGCUCCUAGACGUCCAUUGUAAAGAACACCCUCAAUCACCAAGUUAAUAAAAAGUUUAUUCAGUUUUUAUCAAAGAUUGUUCUUUGUAUAAAAUAUCGGUGUUUAGAAUUCAAAGAGAGAUUAUUUGUUGUUCUAUUGAUUUCGUGAGUCUAGUUUGUUUGUUCAAAUCAAACAAGCUCAGUAGACAGAUUGAGAGAGUCAACACAUUGUUUCCAUCAUCCAUCAGGUUGAGAGAUUCAAUCAAACAUUCAUCCGCAAAUCCACUUCAAUCCAUCAUUUGAUCAAUCUGAGAGUAAUACACAUCCAGCAGCUUGAUUCCGUCAUAUCUAUCCUUUCUAUCUCUUUUAUUUUUUCAUUUUAUUCAUAUCAUAAACCGCAUCUCAUUUUUUUUGCAUUGGUUUCAGGUUUACAACCUUCAUCUCAUUCAUAUCGCCCACCUUAGUUGCCUAAUUUCUCGGUUUAGUUAAAAUAGUUUUCAUUAUUCAUUUGGUUUGACUAGCACUUCCCAUAUCUUCACUUGAUCUUUAAGAUUGAUCUCAGGGAUAAAUGGGAGAGGCAGCACACGGUCAAGCUCUAAUAGCUUCUCAAAAAACCAUCCAAGCUUCCAUCAACCAUCUUGCCAUCCCUGAUUUCCAGGCUGAAAUAUUUGGUAUUAGAGACGAAAGGUUCUUGAGUCAGGUCCAUUCAAUCCUUGCAUCAUUCAUCUUCCUUGCAUUUGUUUCAUCAUUAAAAUAAAAAAAAGCCAUAAAAACAGUUUUUACAUUGUUAUUGUUCUUAAGAAAAGAAAAACAAAAGAGAAGAAGUUUCUUGCAUUUGAUUCACGAAAAUUUGAAAAAGAAAUCUCAUAUUGUGUUUGCAUUCAUUCCCCAGCUCCACUUGCCAUUUUUAGAUUUUGUGCAUUCAUUUAAAAAAAAAAAAUAUGCAUUCCAUAUUUGUUUCUUAUUUGAAUCUUGCAUAAAAAUAAAAAGGCCUAGCAUUUUAUUUUCGUGCAUACCAUAUUUGUUUCAUAAGUUUAUUAUUUGCAUUCAAAAAAAAAAAUUCAUUCAUAUUGCGUGCAUUUGUUUUUCCAUCUUAUAAACCGAAAACCCAUAAAAAACUGUCUUUUGUUUCAAGUAUUGUUUCUGCAUUUGUUCUUGUGUUCUUGUUGUUCAUACUUUUCAAAAGCCACGAACAAGAAAAGAAAAAGUUGUGUUUGAUUCAUUAAAAAAUCGAAAAUCCCAUAAAAAUUGUCAUUUUGAAUUUAUUUCCUUUGUUUGCAUAUCCUUCAAAAAAAAAAUCAUCCUAGUUAUUUUAGUAGACCAUUUUAGUUGAAGUAAUUCGUGCAUAUCAUAUUGCUGCAUUUAAAAAAAAAAACAUUCAUCAUAAGUUUGAAUCAUUUGUUUCAUAUUGUUAGGUUUAUUGCAUUUCUUAAACUAAAAACUCAAAAAAAUAUCGUUGUUAGUUUUUUUCCAUAUUUUCUUUCCAUUUAUUUUUCAUAGCAUCCCAUACUGAUUUAUUUCGUUCUUGCAUCAAGAAAAUCAAAAAAAAAAAUUAUAUAGAGCAUAGUUCAUAUCAUUUGCAUCUUGUUAAUUUAAUUGUUGCAUCUUAAGAAAAUUCAAAAAAAAAAUAUCAGUAUUAGUUUGCUUUCCAUAUUUUAUUUCCAUUUGUAUUCAUUAUCAUCUCAUAUUGUUUCAUUUGGAGAUUUCAUUGAGAAAACCAAAAGAAAAAUCAUUUUUUUUAGUAUAGCUAUUUCAUUUCGGUUCAUAGUUGCCAAAUUUCUCGGUUUAGUUAAAAUAGUUUUCAUUAUUCAUUUGGUUUGACUAGCACUUCCCAUAUCUUCACUUGAUCUUUAAGAUUGAUCUCAGGGAUAAAUGGGAGAGGCAGCACACGGUCAAGCUCUAAUAGCUUCUCAAAAACAACUACUGAUUGCUAUGCGAGAAUUAGAAGAUCAAAUGGCCCGGUUAGAAGAAAGAAGCAAUAUGUCUAGGAGAAAGACACAAGGCCGAGGACCACCACAUGGAUCAUUUUUUUUAGUAUAGCUAUUUCAUUUCGGUUCAUAGUUGCCAAAUUUCUCGGUUUAGUUAAAAUAGUUUUCAUUAUUCAUUUGGUUUGACUAGCACUUCCCAUAUCUUCACUUGAUCUUUAAGAUUGAUCUCAGGGAUAAAUGGGAGAGGCAGCACACGGUCAAGCUCUAAUAGCUUCUCAAAAACAACUACUGAUUGCUAUGCGAGAAUUAGAAGAUCAAAUGGCCCGGUUAGAAGAAAGAAGCAAUAUGUCUAGGAGAAAGACACAAGGCCGAGGACCACCACCUGGAGAAACAAGAUUUGGAGAUGCACCAGAGGAUGGCUAUGUUGAGCCUAAGCCACCAGAUCCUUCAUGGAUCACCCCACACCAUACUUCUUCAACUCAUAAAUACUUAACUCAUUCUUAUCUUGAUUUUAAAUCUGUUAAUGAAGUUAAGAUUUAUUCUUUUUCAGGAAGCAGUUGGCCAGAUGACUAUCUCUCAUGGGAAAGAACCAUGGAUGAUUGGUUUUCAUACCAUGGUGUGCCAAAGAAAGAAAAGCUGAGCCAUGCCAUCAAACAACUCACCGGAAGUGCAUACAAAUGGUGGAAAGGUGUAGAUGGUGCAAGAUGGAAGAGUCAAAGAGAGGCUAUCAAAACGUGGGAAGAUCUUAAAGAGGCCAUAAUCAGGAAGUAUGUUUUCUCACUACCAACACCAGAGAUUAGAGAAAGGUACCCAAGGAGGUUUUCAAGUCAUGGGUCCAAAGAGGCAAAUAGAGUGGUGCCACAACAAGGCCAUAGAAGCUUGAUCCAUCAAGAUCAGAUUCGGCCCAAACCAGGGGCACACAGUUUUCUAUGAUCAAUCCCAACCUUAUGAGGUCCCAAAGACCAUGGAGAGAAAGAACUUUGUCAGCCAAGACACGUUGGCCAGACACAAAGAAAAAUCAGACAAACAGAUUUUUAAAGAAAAGGCCAAGGAUGUUAAGACAGGUCCUGAGGUCCAGAAAGACACGAUCUCCACAUCUUUGUUGAGAUCCAAAGUUGUCCAUGAUUUAAGUCCAAGAGACAAGGAGAUUUUAAACCCAAAGGAAGAAGAGCCAUCAAGCCAAGGUAAGUCUUCUAAAUCUGAGAAUUUGAAAUAUCAGACAUGUUAUAGAUGUCAUAAGAAAGGACAUUAUGCUGUAGUAUGUCCUACUAAGCAAGCAUUGAUAGAAACAUCACUAGGAAAGAAAAGAGAAUUAUCUACUAAAAGUGAUAGUUUUAUUCAAUCUGAUUUAUUGAUUCCAAAUUCUUGUGUAAUGCACUUGUCUUUGUCAAAAGGUGUUGUAACAGGAACUAAGGAGCAUGAAUUCAAAGGAGAGGAGCAACCAGGCGCCACACUUGUGAUGGAACAGAAGCUGGUUCAAGACACAAUGCAGUCCAUGUUGCUUAAAGAAGCAAAACCAGUAAUCAAAGUAUCACACCAAGGUAAGUAUCUAACACCACUUUUUGAUACAAGUGCUGACGUUUUUGUUCUUGGUAUAGGAGGAACAAAUGAAAGCUAUAUGCUUACUGAAGUUCCAAGGAAAGAACCAGACCAUAAGCUCAGCCAUGAACCACCUCAUAAGUGGAAGCCUAAAAUUGAACUAAUUGUUGUUCAAAUGCCAAGGCUUAAGGUAAGUUUCUCUGAUCUUAAAAUGCCCAAGACAUUUGAUUAUCCAGAUGUAAUGCACUUUUCUUUUCCAAAAAGUUUUGAUAUAGGAAUAAGACAAGAAGAAGUUCAUAACAACCAAGGUCAAAAGUUGCAAAGAAGACAGCAAACAAAAACAAGUUGUCCAAAGAAGAAAAUCAUUCUUCAACUUGUGGAAGCUAUCAAAGUAAGUCUGGAAAUUUCAAAUUAUUUUUAUCAGUGUCCAAACACAGAUAUAAUUCACUUGGUUUUUAUCCAGGAAGUUGAGAAUUUUUCAGGUUGCAAAGAAGAAAACUUCAAAGAAAUCCCACCAGAUUAUCUUAUGUUGCUAGGAGGAUCAACUCCAAAGAAGAUCAGAAACGUGGCCACCACAAAUUUGAAGGACCAUCCAGUCCAGAACAGAUGCAAUGACCAUAAACAUACAAGAAGCGUGAUCCUUUCAUAUCUGUCCAAAGAAGAGCCACCAGAUGCAUCAUGCAUCACCAAGCCGAAAUUAAAUCAAGGUAAGGGUCUAAACUCAAAAGAGAAUGAAACCUGACUUGCUCUAUCUUGGUACAGGUUAUCCAGUUUCAAGGACGAAACUUUGUCAAGGGGGAGGGUAUGAUGCGGCCAUCAGAUCAGCAACUGAACCAGAGGUCAACCCAAAGCCCUACUCAAUCAGCCAAGGCGCCAGCCAGGACAUACGUGCACUAAAAAUGUCAUAUCAUAUAAACCAAGAGGGUUUAAAUGACAAGGAUAAUUUUUAUGGAUUCUAAAUUCAAGAAGUAGUCCAUGCCAAUUGGAAUCGGGACAAAAUAUUUACGGAGCAAGAAGUUAUGAAUUUUACAAGUCAGAGGUUUCUCAGCCCGUCCAUCUGCGAGUACCCGACUUUAGAAGAACAUUAAAGCCCAAUGAAGAAGAGGCCUGAAGCAAAGGCCAUCAUAGGAGUCAAGAGGAGUUUAUCAGCUUUUCAUAAAGCCCAAUAUCAGGAGAAAUGGCCAUGGAAUUAUAAAGUUAUGAUCCAAUCUCCAAAACCGGCCAAACCAGUUCUACACUUGCCUCAAUUGGAAGCUAACCAGACAUUGGCGACCAGGAGAUCUAUAUAUGCAUUCAGGAAGUCCAUCCAGUGGUCCAGAAGAGUUAGACAAUUUCAUUCCAUGCACCAGCCCACAUAGGAUCAGGAGGAUCCUCAUUAACCCCAACUUGCCUUAUUUGGAGCUUCUUGCCAUCCAGCUCCAACAGCUCUUUUUCCUUCAGAUUGGGCACGACCUCAGAACAUUCCAAACCAUCAAGAAGGUUCCCAUGAAGCUUAGUUAUCCCCUCAAACCGUCCAGGUUCAAGAAAGAUCAGAUUCCUUACUUGGAGCCAAAAUCCCACAAAAGGCUCCAACGGCUAGUUUCCGAUUUUGUUACUUUGCUUGAUUUGUUUCUUUUUCUAUUUAUUUUAGAACGUUAGGACCUUUGUCUCUUAGCCUUAUAUAAGCUCCUAGACGUCCAUUGUAAAGAGCAUUCUCAAUUACCAAGUUAAUAAAAAGUUUAUUCAGUUUUUAUCAAAGGUUGUUCUUUGUACAAAAUAUCGGUCUUUAGGAUUCAAAGAGUGAUUCUUUGUUGUUCUAUUGAUUUCGUGAGUCUAGUUUGUUUGUGCAAAUCAAACAAGCUCAGUACACAGAUUGAGAGAGUCAAUCACAUCGUUUCCAUCAUCCAUCAGAUUGAGAGAUUCAAUCAAACAUUCAUCCGCAAAUCCACUUCAAUCCAUCAUUUGAUCAAGCUGAGAGUGAUACACAUCCAGCAGCUUGAUUCCGUCAUAUCUAUCAUUUCUAUCUCUUUUAUUUGUUCAUUUUAUUCAUAUCAUAAACAGCAUCUCAUUUUUUUUGCAUUGGUUUCAGAUUUACAACCUUCAUCUCAUUCAUAUCGCCCACUCGAUCAUACUUUUUGUCGAACCAUCCAAGCUUCCAUCAACCAUCUUGCCAUCCCUGAUUUCCAGCCUGCAACACUAACCUAUACAGCAUGUAAACUUCUAUUUAAUUAUUGUUUUCUAAAAAAUUAUAUAAAUAUUUAAUAAUAUGGUAAAUGUUUAAAAUAUGUAUCACCUACUAAAUGCUUAAACUAAUAUCAAUGUAUAUAAAAUAUAAAAAAAUAUUUGCGCAUAAGUGCGGAUCAAACUCUAGCUUUGUUUUAUUUGAAAGAAAAAAACGUUGUAAAGUACAUCAAUAUCUAGCAAUGGUAAAUAAGGUUAAGAUAUUUAGGGUCAGUCCGACCUAUCCAUAACUAUAACCAACAUCAAACCCUAAACACCAACCGGCAAUCGUUGAGAACAUGGGAUUAAUUCUUAUGUCGUUUGUCGUAUCUUACAAGGUGAAGAACGAAAAGUUACAGAAAGAGAUAUAUAUCUCUGAACAUGUCCAGAAAAAAAGGAUCUAAAGUUGACAACAAAAUUUAAGUUGAAUUAUGGUUGUUAUUAAUCUUUUUUAAUAAACUCAUGAGGAAGAUCAAUUUUACCUUCAUUUUUCGAUCUAGAAAGGUAUAACCUCAUGUCAAAAUCAGUUUUACUUUUCAUGAAGAGAAAAAGGAAACAAUUGAAAAUCACACUUUUCAUUCUGCUACGUAAUCAUCAAAGCCAAGAAGUUAGAAGCUUCACGCACUAAAAUCAACUCUUUCCACUUUCUUCUCGUUUUCCAAGUCAAUAGCCAAACACCAAACGGGUCUUGAGGACGAUCUUUACAUGAGUCCAUUGCAACUUAGGACAAGCUAUAAUUAAUUUUAUACUUAAGCUAAAAUAACACACCAAUGGGACCAAUCUACAUCCAAGAUUAGAAGCUUUCACAUCAUAAAAACCAACUCAUCCCACUUGCACUUCGUUUUACAAGUCAAGAGUCAAGCUUUUCUAUUUUCCUUCCAACCGCGUUUCAGAAAUUUACAUCUCCAUUACAAAUCGAAUAAUAUUAUAUAACUGUAUUGUUAAUUCUAAACCUUCAAUUCAAGACAGAAACUGUGAGCUAGGCAUGGCUGAGUCUAACGGGGAGGAUCCAGCUAAGCCUUUAGCCCCACUUUAUCUAACUCCACGUAGCGACCAACCCGAAGAAGAUCAGUACCAAGACCAAACCAAACAACACGUCCACCACCACCACCAACGGGCCAAACUAAUCUUAUGUUGUGGCUUCAUCGCAUCUCUAACCAUACUCAUCGCAGUCACUUUCAUCGUCCUCUCCCUCACGGUCUUCCACCUCCACAGCCCAAAGCUCACUGUAACUUCCAUAUCCAUCAUCCAACCGUUGGACAUCGUCAACGGUAAAGUCAACACGACUCAAAACGCUACCCUCGCAGUGGAGAUCUCAUUACAUAAUCCUAACCCUGCCGUGUUUAAAGUUAAAGACGUUACGGUUUUGUUUUACCACGAUGAACUGGUGGUGGUGGUUGGGGAGAGUACUAGAAGAAGCGAAACUAUUCCAGCGAAACGGACGGUGGAGAUGAAUCUGACGGCGGAGAUUGAUACGAGAAAGCUACUAGCAUCUGACCCAGGUUUAAUGGAGGAUUUUAACGGAAGUGUGGUGUUGAGAAACAGAGUUGCAGUUAACGGUAAAGUGAAGAUGAUCAAGAUUUUCAAGAAGUCUGUUCAGCUUAAGACAGAUUGUGUCGUGACCAUGAUGAUGAUGAACAAUUCAUCAAAGCCUAGUUUUGAUUGUACGAGGACAAGAAACACGUACGAACAUGUUCGAAGCUGAAACAAUAAAUUUUUAUUUAUAAAUGUCUGUAAAUAAACUCAGUUCACAUGUAAAAAAGGAAAGAUGCAAUGUCGAAUCAAAAGACAAGUUUGGUUUGCACCGGUUAAUAUGACUUACUCACCGGUUUAUUUCUUUGUUUGGUCUUUCUUCGGUCUUUCUUCGGUUGGUCCUUCUUUGCCUGGUCCUUUUGUUGGUCGCUGACACGUCCUCCGGCGAUUUUAACGACUGGUUCGUCUUUGGACUUUAUUAGCUUUAGCGCUGGGUGAACCUUGAGGUCUCCGGUUACUAGCUUUUGUCCAACGUCCAAGUGGCUGAGAUCUACAUCUAUAUAUGGAGGGAUUAUUUCUGCUGGGCACAGUGGCAAACCUACGUUGACUAGGGAGGAGGCAGUUGCCCCCACAAAAAUCUAGAAAUAAAUGUAUUUGCAUAAGAAACAACAAGCUUUUCGUAGCAUAGAUGGUUUCGGUCCUUUACCUGCGCCCCACCCCCUCGAAUUCCCUUCUAGCCACAUAUUUCCCUCCUAGAUUCGCCACUGGCUGGGCAUAGGAACUUUACGGUUCUUUUGAUCGUAAGAGAUUCUCCUGCAGGAAGAUCAAGAAAUGGUGAUCAAUAUUAAAUUCUAACAAGAAACUAGAUACUGCCAAUAUACCCAAAAAAAAACUAAUGGGGAUGGAAUUUAAAAAGGAUAGACAGAACUGAGAUACAAGCCACUAAACAAAGCUAGAGGUCAUUUUAUACAAAGAUAUAUCAUGCAAUAUGGCAAACGGUGCACAAAUCAUCAAACAUAAUGUGGUUUUUGCAAAUAGAUUUCUCCCUCCUCGAGUUAGAGUUUUCUUAAAACAUCAAUCAAGUCAAAGCUUAGCUCAAUCGACUUCGAAAGUGUCAAAAAGGUGGCAGACAUGAACACGUUUGCGAUAUUUAUCAUCAACCCUCACAAUCCCAAUGGAAACACCUACUCGGAGGCUCAUCUCAAACAGGUACAUUUAUAAACAUAGAUACUCUUUAGUCUUAUAACUAGUAAGUAUUUUACUUGACUGUGGAUAAUCUACUUUGUUUCUUGUGUAAUUGUUGAACCUCAGCUCGCUGAACUGGCUAAGGAACUCUCUCCAUCAUGGUGGUUCCUGAUGAAGUUUUUAGAUGGACCGUCUUCGGGAAUAACCGUUUUGUUCCGACGGGAAAGUUCUCGUACAUAUCCUACCAGUGGUUACACUCGGAUCCUUAUCUAAGGGAUGGAAUGUCCCAGGAUGGCGAACUGGCUGGCUCGUGCUGCAUGAUCUAGAUGGUGCCUUUAGAAACACUAAGGUCCCAUCCUUUUUAACACUAUUUCAUAGCAACAGAACACAUCAUUGCCAUUUAACUUAAUUUUAGUACAUAUGUCCAUUGCCAAUUUGCCAUCAAUCUACUAAAUUACUUCUAUACAUUAUACAUAUAUAAUUACUUUCCAUAUACUAUAUUUGAUAGUUAAAGCUAUAAGAUGUUGCUUUUAAUUAGUUUUGGCUAAACCAUUUUGUUAUGUGUCAACAGAUAUUAACGACUUCCUCCAUAUUAACGCUAAACCUCCGACUGUUAUCAGGUAAAUUUGGGUUACUCUCUUACUCUUUUUUUAAUAAGAAAAUACAUUUACUCUCUUACGGUUAUUGUGAGAGUAAACAAAUGUGUGAAUGUAGGCUGGCACAGCAUCUUGAUAGGCCGGGAUCUUCUGCUGAAGAAUGUAGGCUGAACAGUGGGGGAUGGAAAAUCAAUUAAUAUCUGGCAAGACCCCUGGCUAAGUCUGAACAAACAGGAACGUCCAAUGGGGCCUCCCACCGAACAGAGUGCUGAACUUUGUGUCGCUGAUCUAUUGAUACAAGAAGGAAUGCGGUGGAACCGCAGGAAAAUACAACCGGUACUUCCGGAAUACGAAGAACAGAUCCUAAGCUUGAAACCAAGUUUAACAGGGGUAUCAGACAAGCUUAUUUGGUUGAGUACUAAAUCUGGAGAUUAUUCUGUUAAAUAUGGAUAUUAUGUUGCGGUGGAAAGCGACGUUCAGAUCGCUGGGGCAGAUACGGAGUUUGAUUGGUCCAAGAAUGUCUGGAAGCUGGACUGUGCCCCGAAGGUGAAGCUCUUCUCCUGGAAAUUGCUCAAAGGUGCCCUGCCUGUUGGAGAACGGCUAAUUGAACGACACAUUGAAGUAGACCCGACAUGUAAACGUUGCGGAUGCAAUGAAUCUAUCAUUCAUCUCCUCUUCCAAUGUCAGUUUGCACAAAAGGUAUGGCAGCUGGCCCCCUUCGUGACUGAAAUGGAUUAUAGAGGAACGGUAGAUUUAUUGACGGCCUGGCCAUUAAUUUGCUACCAAAAAUGCCUGCCUCCAUCGGGGAUAGCUUCCGGCACUCUGUUUCCUUGGAUCGCCUGGGAUAUAUGGAAUGCGAGGAACAGACUUGUCUUUGAUGGUUUGCUGCCUCACCCGAGGAAACCCUCUCCUCCGCUAUCAGGCUGGCUCGAGAGUGGAAUAAGGACAGUAAAUCAGAGACUUCUGGCCAGAUACGAAACAGACGAGUGGAACUUCCAACACCAAAUGGAGCGACGAUUGUGAGAUCGGACGCGGCGUGGAGUGGGAAUGGGAAUGUGGCAGGUCUAGGCUGGAUUAUCAUUGAUCCGACACAGCAUAAAGAAUUCCAACGAAGAAUGGAGUACAUUGCGUCACCUCUAAUGGCUGAAGGAUUAGCAUUGAGAGAAGCUGUUCUCACCUGCUUAGAAUUGGGGCUGCGGAACAUCAAGAUGAAGUCGGAUUCGGCUCAACUAAUCAAGUGCCUCAACACAGGGGAACAUGUAGCGGAGCUACACAAUGUUUUGUCUGAUAUCCUCUUAUUGUCGUCUGGCCUUGUGCCUGUUUCUUUUGCUUGGUUACUUCGAGAGAAGAAUGUAGAAGCUGAUACUUUGGCAAAGUGUGCCUUGAAUGUAGUUGAACCUCUGUUGGUUGGGGAGACAGUUAUUGCUCCCAACUAAGUAUUAAUUAGAAUUUUGUUUCAAAAAAAAAAAAAAAACAAAUGUGUCAAUAUGCGGUGUGAUUUUCAAUGUGAAUGCAUAUAGGCGACUAUGCCUGACUUUUUGGAGAGAACUCCAAAACAUUUCUUCACUGAAAAGGGAAGUUUUCUGAAACCUAAAGUAGAUAUUGGAUAUUCGGAGGUCAAGCACACACCUGGCCUCACUUGUUACAUGAAACCC
Molecule: long non-coding RNA, 12384 nt
Filed under: Brassica napus (rape)
Lineage: Eukaryota; Viridiplantae; Streptophyta; Magnoliopsida; Brassicales; Brassicaceae
Description: long non-coding RNA (BNAP_LNC009488)
Source: RNAcentral